RNAcentral lists this ribosomal RNA (378 nucleotides) under uncultured bacterium. RNAcentral describes it as "bacterial SSU rRNA". It matches the Rfam family "Bacterial small subunit ribosomal RNA", at positions 29 to 416 of the family's 1533-position model. The record is from RNAcentral.
AAUGAACGCUGGCGGCGUGGCUAAGACAUGCAAGUCGCACGGGCCCAGCAAUGGGUCAGUGGCGAACGGGUGAGUAAUGAAUCGCUAACGUGCCCCGGACUCUGGGAUAGCUAGCCGAAAGGCUAGGUAAUACCAGAUGACAUAUCUCUCCUGCAUGGGAGGGAUCUCAAAGGUCCGCCGGUCUGGGAGCGGGCGAUUUCGUAUCAGCUAGUUGGGAGGUAACGGCUCACCAAGGCGACGACGCGUAGCCGGACUGAGAGGUUGGCCGGCCACAUUGGGACUGAGACACUGCCCAGGACUCCUACGGGGGCUGCAGUAACGAAUCUUCCGCAAUGCACGCAAGUGUGACGGAGCGACGCCGCGUGUGGGACGAAGCCC